GUGUUGUAAUAGAUUUAACGGCUCAAUUCCUCAUGAAUUGUUCUCCUUGACAAAUCUUCAGCGUCUUGAUUUAAGCAGGAAUGUUAUUGGCGGUACGUUGAGUGGUGACAUCAAAGAGCUCAAGAAUCUGCAGGAACUGAUCUUAGAUGAGAAUCUCAUUGGAGGAGCGAUUCCUUCAGAAAUAGGUAAACUAGAAAAUAAAUUCUCAAAUAUUUAAAUUUUAUAUUCAUGUGGGUGUUAAAAUGUCCUACCUUUUAAAAUGUUGCAAGGUAGUCUUGUCGAACUACUGACGCUGACCUUGAGGCAGAACAUGUUCAAUAGUUCCAUACCGUCGUCUGUAUCACGGUUAACGAAGCUCAAAACGAUAGAUCUUCAGAACAAUUUCUUGU
RNAcentral lists this long non-coding RNA (389 nucleotides) under Arabidopsis thaliana (thale cress). RNAcentral's name for it is "long non-coding RNA (ATHA_LNC000228)". Lineage: Eukaryota; Viridiplantae; Streptophyta; Magnoliopsida; Brassicales; Brassicaceae. The record is from RNAcentral.